This 481-nucleotide ribosomal RNA is filed under the name uncultured Methanosaeta sp. Its description in RNAcentral is "bacterial SSU rRNA". It matches the Rfam family "Archaeal small subunit ribosomal RNA", at positions 856 to 1338 of the family's 1478-position model. The record is from RNAcentral. Lineage: Archaea; Methanobacteriati; Methanobacteriota; Methanomicrobia; Methanotrichales; Methanotrichaceae.
CUUAAGGAAUUGACGGGGGAGCACCACAACGGGUGGAGCUUGCGGUUUAAUUGGAUUCAACGCCGGAAUCUUACCGGGACCGACAGCAAUAUGAAGGCCAGGCUGAAGACUUUGCCGGAUUAGCUGAGAGGUGGUGCAUGGCCGUCGUCAGUUCGUACUGUGAAGCAUCCUGUUAAGUCAGGCAACGAGCGAGACCCACGCCCACAGUUGCCAGCGUACUCUCUGGAGUGACGGGUACACUGUGGGACCGCCGCUGCUAAAGCGGAGGAAGGAAUGGGCAACGGUAGGUCAGUAUGCCCCGAAUAUCCCGGGCUACACGCGAGCUACAAUGGUUGGUACAAUGGGUAUCUACCCCGAAAGGGGACGGGAAUCUCCUAAAACCAAUCUUAGUUCGGAUUGGGGGCUGCAACUCGCCCUCAUGAAGCUGGAAUCCGUAGUAAUCGCGUUUCAACAGAACGCGGUGAAUACGUCCCUGCUCCUU